This 98-nucleotide small nuclear RNA is filed under the name Myotis davidii. Lineage: Eukaryota; Metazoa; Chordata; Mammalia; Chiroptera; Vespertilionidae. The record is from RNAcentral.
GUGCUCACUUCGGCAGCACAUACACCAAAAUUGGAAUAACACACAGAAGAUUAGCAUGUCCCCUGCAGAAAUUCGUGCUUUCCAUUAAAAUAAUUUUU